RNAcentral lists this ribosomal RNA (275 nucleotides) under uncultured bacterium. RNAcentral describes it as "partial 16S ribosomal RNA". It matches the Rfam family "Bacterial small subunit ribosomal RNA", at positions 399 to 691 of the family's 1533-position model. The record is from RNAcentral.
GCGUGGGUGAUGAAGGCCCUAGGGUUGUAAAGCCCUUUCGGCGGGGAAGAUAAUGACGGUACCCGCAGAAGAAGCCCCGGCUAACUUCGUGCCAGCAGCCGCGGUAAUACGAAGGGGGCUAGCGUUGCUCGGAAUCACUGGGCGUAAAGCGCACGUAGGCGGAUCUUUAAGUCAGGGGUGAAAUCCCGGAGCUCAACUCCGGAACUGCCUUUGAUACUGGGGAUCUUGAGUCCGGGAGAGGUGAGUGGAACUCCGAGUGUAGAGGUGAAAUUCGU